This 1680-nucleotide long non-coding RNA is filed under the name Populus trichocarpa (black cottonwood). Its description in RNAcentral is "long non-coding RNA (PTRI_LNC000313)". The record is from RNAcentral. Lineage: Eukaryota; Viridiplantae; Streptophyta; Magnoliopsida; Malpighiales; Salicaceae.
GGAGAAAGAAGAAGAAGAAGAGAAAAGAGGGAAAUUAGAAAGGAAAUAGAAAGGAGUUGGAGAAAAUAAGUAAAAAGGUAAGAUUAUGUAUAAAUAUAUGUUAAUUAAGCUUUAAUUUCGAUUUUGAUAAAUUUUAGGGUUAUGAAAUUUAUGUUUUGGGUUUGAUUGAUGAUUUAAUUUGAAUAUUAUAGAGUUAAUUGUUGUGGGUAUUUGAUUAUUUGGAUGAUUUUGAGAGAUUGAAUUGAAAGAUGAUGAUUUUGAGUUAUGAUUUUGUUUGAAUGGUGAAAUUGUGUUAGGAAUUUGGAGAGAACAGUAGGUUUCUGUUAAAAAUUCUGGGUUGGAGGUUGAAGAUGACAAAAUUUCGGUUUGGUCCCUCAAUUUUGGAAAAUUACAGUUUAGUCCCCAAACUUUGGAAAAUUUGCAGAUUGGUCCCUGGAGCAUAUUCCGAGAUUCUGAACAGAAUAACAUAUGAAUUAUGGACAGAAUUACUGUAUAGAUAAGAGAAUUUAACACUUUCAAUUUAGUCCUUCAAUUUGACAAAAAUUGCAAUUUGACCCUUAAAAAUAGGAUAAAUUACAGAUUAGUCCCUAGCUGUAAUACUAGCUUUUGCAGAUUGGUUUGAUGAAUAAUUAAGGGUUAUUUAGUGAAUUAUUGCCAAUUUUAUUAGUUGUUUUAUUAUGGAUUAGAUUUCGGGAAAACCGUUAAAUUUUGGGUUUUUGAGAAAAUUGACUAGUUAGUUCAAAAACAUAUAGGGUUACGGAAUACAUCAUUAGUUAAGUUUAUUAAAUAAGUUAAAUGUUCUUUUGAGUCGUUCUUGAAUAUGUCUCCUUUGUAUUCAGAUAAUCCUGAUAUUCUACCGAUAGGACGUCAGUAGGAUUUUCUUCGGUGUCUGCUUUUGGCUUCUGUUUGCUUUUGAGUCAGGUGAGUGGAUAAUUUUCCAUAUGCAUGAGAAAUAGUAUAAAUAUUUGAUUUGUUAAUAUGAAUUGAAUCAUGCUUCUUGAUAAUAUAUAUGUUGACUAUUAUCCUUAUUUUGAUAAAGCAUGAUCAAUUAUUGAAUCUGAAUUCUUAAUAUGAACCAGUAUAUAUUUUGAAUUGAAUUCUGAAUUGAUAGCUCCUCAUUUGAUUGAUGUCAUGAGUUGAGCCUUGAGAUAUGAAUACGUCUGUUUGAUUAUGAUUAUGAACCUAUGGUAUGUCAGUCAGAAUACCCAUACUAACAGGGUAGUGUUAGUCUUUGUGCACAUCGUAUCUGAACCCUAGUUGGUCGGGGGAGUCACCAACCUGUGUGGACUGAUCAUCCCACAGUACGGAGCCUCAUGCUCAUUGCAUUUUGAUUUUCUGACGAGCUUUACCAUAUGAUAUUCUUGUUAUGGCCUAUUUGAGAAACUUUUCUAUAAGAACCUAGAGCCAUACUUAUAUAUAUAUUUCUCAUUGUUGUAUUACCUCGUGUGUGUAUAUUGAACGUUAUCUACUCACUGAGUUGUUGAACUCACCAUCUCAUUAUUUAUCCUUUUCAGGCUUAUAGCUUGAUAGCAGGUCAUUUUGUUGGACCUUCAGAAUCUGCUCUUUGGUUGUACUUUGUAUCUUUCCUUUAUGUUUAGUUAAUGCUCCAAAACUCUGAACUUAUAUAAACUCUUGUAUUAAGACAAUUCAAUUAUUAUGAAGUUGAUUUUGUUAUUAAUG